Long non-coding RNA from Artibeus jamaicensis (Jamaican fruit-eating bat), 424 nucleotides. RefSeq lists it as uncharacterized. The transcript has 3 exons. NCBI's taxonomy places the organism in Eukaryota, Metazoa, Chordata, Mammalia, Chiroptera, Phyllostomidae. The record is from RefSeq and is a predicted model, not a curated record.
GGCGGUUGGCAGCCCGCAUCCGCGCCUCCACGGAAACCCCGCGAGGGGCUGUGGGGGUGACCGCUCGACCUGCUUCCCAGGCGGUGGUGACUCAGGGGGUUGAGGGCAAAGUGCUUAGAGCAAUGUCUGGAAGCACAGAGAAAAAUGACUUGGCUGAGGUUGGAGCUGGAGAACGAGCCCGGAUUUGACCCCAACUUUCAAGCCAUGACAGCAGGCCCCUCCUCUGCUGCGCUGGACUCGGGCGGUCCCUCCAGAGCGCCCACUGGCCGCCUCCUCCUCCGCCUCAGCCCCUGAUCUUCCCCAGGUGGCAUGCUCUUCUGCCUGGCUCUCUGCCUCUGCGUUGCUUCUGUCUCUUUCCGCAGAUUAGGCUGGAGCUCAACCAGAUUGUUCAACCAAGAUUCCCAAGAAAGGGGGAGGGCUGGGG